RNAcentral lists this ribosomal RNA (758 nucleotides) under uncultured organism. Its description in RNAcentral is "bacterial SSU rRNA". It matches the Rfam family "Bacterial small subunit ribosomal RNA", at positions 28 to 764 of the family's 1533-position model. The record is from RNAcentral.
AAUGAACGCUGGCGGCGCGUUUUAAGCAUGCAAGUCGAACGGUAUGCAUGGUCCUUUGCACUGUGCUGAGAGUGGCGAACUGGUGAGUAACACGUAGGUGAUCUACCUUGGGGUGGGGGAUAGCCUGUGGAAACAUGGGGUAAUACCGGAUGAACCCCCGGGCCUGCGGGUGAAGGGGGAAAGGUGCUAUUGCACCGCCUGGGGAUGAGCCUGCGUUCCAUUAGUUGGUUGGUGGGGUAAAGGCCUACCAAGGCGAUGAUGGGUAGCCGGCCUGAGAGGGUGAUCGGCCACACUGGGACUGAGACACGGCCCAGACUCCUACGGGAGGCAGCAGCUAAGAAUCUUCCGCAAUGGACGAAAGUCUGACGGAGCGACGCCGCGUGGACGAUGAAGGCCGAAAGGUUGUAAAGUUCUUUUCUUGGAGAAGAAUAAUGUGAGGAGGGAAUGGCUCCCUGAUGAACUUUAUCUGUGGAAUAACCCCCGGCCAUUUCCUGGCCACCACCGCGGGAACCCCUAAUGGGCCAACGUUGUUUCGAAUUAUUGGGCGUAAAGGGCGUGUCAGGUGUUUUGGAAGCCUGGUGUGAAAAUGCUCUGGUUAACUGUGUAUGUACGCUGGGAAACUGCAAAAAUACAAUCUCUAGAGGGGGAGCUAGGAUUUCUGGUGUAGGGGUGAAAUUCUGUAGAUAAUCAUGAAGAAUCUCGGUUGGACGACGCCGACGCUUCUUGUCCAUGACUGACCCUGAGGCGCGAAAGCGUGG